This 62-nucleotide transfer RNA is filed under the name Symphylella sp. YG-2006. Its description in RNAcentral is "tRNA-Met". The record is from RNAcentral. Lineage: Eukaryota; Metazoa; Arthropoda; Symphyla; Scolopendrellidae.
AUAAAAAUAAGCUAAAAAAGCUAAAUGGUUCAUACCCAUUCGAUAGAGAAAUCUUUUUUAUU